ACCUAAGAGAUUUGGCGGUAUCUGUAACUUGUUAGAGAAACUUGUUUUAAUAAUCGAUAAUCCUCGAAAUAUCUUACCUUUGUUAUUUAGUUUGUAUACCGUCAUAGAUGUGAUUUUUUAAAAGGUGAAAAUUAUUUAGAUAUUUAUUUUUAUGAAAAAAUAUUAGAUCAAGGUGCAGCUUAUAUAAAGGGUAAAAUGAGUUACAAUAAAUUAUUUUAAAUAUAUAUGGAGUAUAAAAUGAAAUUUUUAUAUAAAAGUGGAUUUAAUUGUAAUUAAAUUUUAAUAAGUUAAAAUGAUAAUAGUUCUGAGAUAUGU
RNAcentral lists this ribosomal RNA (315 nucleotides) under Globospongicola spinulatus. RNAcentral describes it as "partial 12S ribosomal RNA". Lineage: Eukaryota; Metazoa; Arthropoda; Malacostraca; Decapoda; Spongicolidae. The record is from RNAcentral.